This 425-nucleotide unclassified non-coding RNA is filed under the name soil metagenome. RNAcentral describes it as "partial contains 5.8S ribosomal RNA, internal transcribed spacer 2, and large subunit ribosomal RNA". The stretch from base 1 to 120 matches the Rfam family "5.8S ribosomal RNA", at positions 35 to 154 of the family's 154-position model. The record is from RNAcentral.
GAUGAAGAACGUAGCGAAAUGCGAUAAGUAGUGUGAAUUGCAGAAUUCCGUGAAUCAUCGAAUCUUUGAACGCACAUUGCGCCUUCUGGUAUUCCGGAAGGCAUGCCUGUUCGAGAGUCAUUAACAACCGUUUCGAUCCCUUUCUUUCAGAAAUUACAAAGAGGAAAAGGGUUUGGUUAUGGUGGAGGAGGGAAAGGGAGCGUUUAGCCUGUAAAAAAAGAGGCUGUGUUCCGCCUCCACCCCAAAAUUGUACAGGCGGUCGUGUGCGCCCACGCAUCGAGGUGUUGUAAAAGCUGCCACGGCACUUUUCACCUGUGCAGUGCGAGAUUGGCCAGCCGGUUUAAAAACCCCUCCAAACAAUCAAAGGUUGACCUCGGAUCAGGUAGGGAUACCCGCUGAACUUAAGCAUAUCAAUAAGCGGAGGA